RNAcentral lists this long non-coding RNA (1368 nucleotides) under Marmota monax (woodchuck). The record is from RNAcentral. Lineage: Eukaryota; Metazoa; Chordata; Mammalia; Rodentia; Sciuridae.
GCUGAUUUGAGAUCUGGCUGAGUCCAGGACUGGGGCACAAUUAUACAAGAUAAACCUGUGUCAUGUUCCUUUGGCCCUGAUAGCUGCUUUAAAUAAGUCUGAUAUUCCAAAAGCUGUAUCCCUUCAAAUUGGUGCCUAUGGGUAGCUUUUCCAUAGCAAGAUAUUGAGAUUUUUCUGGUUCUCCUUCUGCUGAGUAAUUUUGGAUUGUGUCUUGAAUAUUUUAAAUCCCUAUGUUAUAGAGCUGUAGACAUGGUCUGAAUGCUAUGCUGAAUAUUGAUUUUUUAUUGUUAUUGUUGUUGUUGUAGCAGAAUGCUGACCCAACAAGGGGUUGAAGGUUCUUACUGCUUCUGUUGGGCAGUUCCAAUCUGUUCCCUUUUCAAGCCCUUGCAGUGUUAUUCAGGUCUUUCCUGUAUAUGUGACACCCAGUGGCCACUUCAGAACCUGAGCAGUGGUACACUCCUGCUUCUGUUCCACAUUGCCUGAGAUUUCUUACUUAUUUUCCUCCCCUACACAUUUUCUACCAAACUUUCCACUCCACAGUGGUCCUCCAUCCCACCCUGUGACCUAAUAGGUAUGGCUCAUACAUUGUUGAUCUGUGCCUUUCCCUCAAUAGUGUUGGUCCCCAGGGCCAAGCAGUUACAGGACAGAGAAAAAAAGCCACCUGUCCUCUGUUCUAUCACUUGAAAGCAGCGACAAUUAUUUUUCUUUUACCUUUUGGUCAUUGUUGACUCCUUCACCCAGUUUUCUAGGAAUCGUACUGAGAACCUGAUACAACUCUCUCCCUAUUCUCUCUGGGCACCACAAAUUCUGUGGUCAGAAGGAAAAUCACCAUCCUUCAGAGUUUAGGCUGCAGUCCAGCCACUUUUGUCAUUGCUACUAGAAUACCCAGAGGGGCUGGGAGAGAAUGGCAAAAGACAAAGGAAAAAGAAAGCCAGGCACUCUGCCCCACAGAUAGCCUUUUGUCCUUGUGCCUCCAAUUAUUUGAAUACUUGCAGAGGCUGAAGAACGGCUCCAUUAUCAGAUAAGAAUAAUAAAGAUAAAGUAUAGAUACACAUAUAUAUAUACCUGGCACCGAAUAAUCCUCUAUGAUGUUUUCAAGUUAUAUUUUCAUUAUUAUUUAAAAAGAAGAGAAAAUUGCCUUGUUAAUAAUCCAAUUAUAAAAGUUGUUGUAUUAUUUUUGGGAAAUCCAUACAAUUGAUAAAAGUAUAAAGGAAAAAUAACCUAUCCACAACUUUGGAAAAAAGCCUGUCAUCAAGCUCCUGUUUCCUUUCAUUCUGUUUCUUCCAUCAAUAGACAUAUUAGAGAAGUAAAAUAUACUGAUUCAUAAUUCAUGUGUUUUUUGUUUGAUUGUAAACAUUUUUACUUUUA